This is a long non-coding RNA of Frieseomelitta varia, 711 nucleotides long. RefSeq lists it as uncharacterized. NCBI's taxonomy places the organism in Eukaryota, Metazoa, Arthropoda, Insecta, Hymenoptera, Apidae. The transcript is spliced from 2 exons. The record is from RefSeq and is a predicted model, not a curated record.
CGUUCGAGGGAGACGCGUCUGUCUUCCGUAGUACGUACGCGUCGUCUCGGUACGCACGUUGUCGCCGUUGUCAGCGUAACACACACUCACACACUCACACACACACACACAUACACACACAUACACACGUACAAAUUACGAACCGCUCUCGCUCUGUCGUAAAUAAUAUACGCAGCAUACAAGGAUCGUCGGUUGGAGGCGACGUUCGAUCGUACGAUUUACGGAUACAGGAGAGAACAGAAAGAAAAAGAGAGAGAAAGAGAGAGAGAGAGAGAGAGAGAGAGAGAGGGAGAAAGCACGAGAGAAAGGGGUGUUAUAUAUUGGCAACUCUCGAACUGUGGGACUGGCGCUUACCUUCGUGUCUUUUCUCCGUCGUCCUCGUUCUCGUCGUCGUCGUCGUCGUUGUCGUUGUCGUUCAUCGUUCCCAUCGUUUCUUCACCACUCCACGGCGACGGAAGAACACGCGAGAAAAAAGUACGCUUCGCGGUGGCUGUGCGCGGUCGUGUUGCAUCAUUCUCGACGGUCGAUACACGAUCGAUGCGAGCGGUCGAAGCGGCGCGCGAUCAAGAAUCGAAGCGGUGCACUCUGGCGGCAGGUGGUGGAAACACGGCGAAAUAGCGGCAAACGGUGCCUCGCCUAGCCAGCGAGCCGUUUUUCGAGUACGCCGCGUUUUCGGAGUCGUCCAUAAGAGGGAAAAAAACAACGUGAAAA